Monopterus albus (swamp eel) is the source of this 678-nucleotide long non-coding RNA. RefSeq lists it as uncharacterized. NCBI's taxonomy places the organism in Eukaryota, Metazoa, Chordata, Actinopteri, Synbranchiformes, Synbranchidae. The record is from RefSeq and is a predicted model, not a curated record. The transcript is spliced from 4 exons.
ACUGUUCUGAUUUACGACAUUACGAGAGCACUUUAAAGUAGCAAAUGCGGCUUCUGUUGCGGAUAUAACGUAGACAAACAGGUGAUAAAUCGAAAAAAAACCCAAAAAACAAAACAAAAAACCGUGCCACAGCUUCAGUGCACCUUGACGUUGAUUCUCCACGUUUCUGACUCCACUGAAGAUGGGGACGCUGUUAUCCUGGAAGACACCGCUCCCUUCAGGAAAGAAAUGUUUCAUCGCAGGAUAAAGAUAUUUCCUUGAUCGCCCAUCUAGAUGGCUCCAGCUGUGCUCAGGGUGCAGACAUCAGCACAUAUGCGCAGCUGUAAUGAACUAAACGUUCAUUCUGGAGCAACACCAUUCAGUGUGAUGAUAUUCCCACCUACAGACCACAUGUGUUUCAUCUGCUAAUUUAUUCCACUCCACUCCUCAUGAUUGCUUUUGGAAACCUCAUCAGCAGCUGAAAGGAAGAUGAAAAACAGAUCAUCAUAACCAGCAAUGAUAAACAAGGCCAGCCACAUCAGAAGGACAGUGUCUGAGCUCCAUUCACUGGUUAAAGGGAUGAUGUGAGAUACAUUGUUGUCUCGUCCUUUAUGGGAUCUCACUGAUCCAGAUGUGACUAGAUGAAUGACGAGCACUUGUUUGUUGUGAUGUGCUCAACAUUAAAUAAAAUUAUUUUAU